CUAAAAGAAUAGAUCUAAUCUGCAUGAUCUAGAGGAAUUAAAUAAAUAGUUUUGUUAGUACCUAGAUCUGAAGAUGGAGUUUGAAUUGCUGUAAUUAAGAUUAUACGUUAGUAAACUGAACCCAAUUAACUUAAUAUGU
Caenorhabditis elegans is the source of this 139-nucleotide non-coding RNA. The record is from Ensembl. Lineage: Eukaryota; Metazoa; Nematoda; Chromadorea; Rhabditida; Rhabditidae.